ACCUACCACAACUUUACUCUUUUCUCUCUUCUCUUUCUUCUAGAAUCGUCAUCUUCUCACCGGAUUUUCAACAUUGAAUCAAGAUCAAAGAUCCACCUAUAUAUCUUGAAGAUCCGACUAUAAAUCUUGAAGUUAAUGAUUUUGGUGGUUGUAUUUUUUCAUGUGAUUCCUUAAAUCCGUUAUAACAAUCUGAAUCCCACCAUUCAUCAAGCAACAGAGGUUAGUUUAUCAUUUUUUUUUUGAAAUAUAUAGUGUGUUUUAUUCUUAUUAAAUUAUCAAUGUUUUGAAGUUCAUAUUCUUUGAUUUUUCAGUUAUCAUUUGUUCAAUUUAGCUUUAAAGAAACAUUUAAUUUCUUUUUAAAAUUUAUUUUUUUCCUAUAAAUAGACUACUGGUUUUAAGGUUAAUUUUUGAAAUUUGAAUUAUAAGUCUGUUUCUUUAAUUAGACAUUGUUUCUAUAAAUAUGUUACGGUUAUAUUUUUUUAAAAAUUGCUUACUUCCUUUGCAGUUAUAGAUAUUUAUUUCUGAACCGAGUCUGUCCUCCAUAGUUUUUUCUGAUGUGAGUAUUUCUGAUUCGAUAUUUUGUUCGAAUUAUGAUAGUUACUUAUGUAUUUUUUUCAAUACGAAUGUUAGUUUUAUAUAUUUUAUUAAAAAAUACAACAAUUGAAUAUAUUACCAAAUAAGUUGAUGUUUGAAUUUGUAUGUUGACUUAUUUCUAGAUGUAUAUCUUAUAUUUUUAUUAACUUAUUAUUAAUUUUAGGAAACUUAUAAAUAUUUAUAAUAAUUAACAAAACAAUGAUAAUUUAUUUAUGUUAAAUUAUUUGGUCGAUUUUGUCUAUUCGUAAUUUCCAAAGUUUUGUAAAGUAAUAUUUUCAUUUAUAAGUCAAUAACGUAUCAAAGUUAUUUUAGAUAAAUUUGUUUCUUUAUUAAUUGACAAUCAUAUUUAAGUAAAAUGGAAACUACAAUAGAAUGACAAAUAAUUUUGAUGUAGAUAAUUUAUUUUUUAUCAAAAUAUAUAUAAUAUUUGUUUUGUUAUAUGGUAUUACAAUUUUAAUUAAUUAUUUAACGAUCAUUUAUUGAGUACUAAUAAAAAUCCUUAUUUUUAUUGUCACAGUUUUCUAUUUGAAUUUAGGUUUUGUUUUGAUCAAAGUUGGGUUAUGCAGGUAAGUGUUCAAUCUCAUGUUAAUUUGAAAACGCCUCAAUCUUAAGCUUCAAGAUCCCGAGUAAAUGUGAUGUUUAUUUAUGUUACUUAAUAACAUGUAAAUGGGGGAUAUCUACAAAUUUUGAUGGUACGCGACUUUUCAUUAACGACAAUUUUGAUCAGAUGCUGACAUUCAAGGAAAACUUUCUUGAAAUUGAAUUACAUCGACUUCGCUUCUACUCUCUUCUUUACGUACGUCAAGCCUUCUAAGCGUUUGAUGUUGACCAAAGUCGUACCCAAGAUCACAAAGAAAAGAGACCGUUCGUGAAUGUUGGUUAUUAUGUUAUGUUAGAUGGUUAAGUAUGAAUAUUAGAUGUGGUUUUAUCGUUGGUUUGUUUUGAUGCUUUGGGAUAGUACUUAUGGUUUGUUAGAUAUGUCUUU
RNAcentral lists this long non-coding RNA (1579 nucleotides) under Helianthus annuus (common sunflower). Its description in RNAcentral is "hypothetical non coding rna". Lineage: Eukaryota; Viridiplantae; Streptophyta; Magnoliopsida; Asterales; Asteraceae. The record is from RNAcentral.